AAAACUGCACGACGUGUCAUCGUACAAAAACUAGAAACACAGGCGCCGCAUUGCCGCGCCCACUACAGAGUUGUGAGCUCUGGUAAGUACCUUGUGAUCUAGUCAUCCAAAUGGAUUACUUGCCCAAUCAACGGUUCUUGAUCUCUAAUUGAGUUGCUUGGGCUGGCUUUGCAGCCGAACCGCUCGACUGCAAGCUCCCAGCAGGAGCUGUAGCCUGAUUGGCAGAGUCGAUUGUACACGGGGAACUAACAGCUUGAUUGCAGCGGCUGUUGCUGGAUGCUGCAACAUCAAGCUGUUCCCAGCACCUAUUUUUGUAGUUCACGUGCAAUAUCUUUCUGUGAUAAAUCUCCCAUCUGGAACCAAAGAGAGGUAGCAUCACAAAGUUGUAUCCUUGCAUGUGAGAAAACACAUCAUCCUCGGAAGAACAUGCACUGGAGAAGGACGAAGGUAUUGAUGAUAAUAGCUGUUGCUAUAUAAUAAAUAUAGUAUUAAUAGGAGUGAAUACUAUCCGCACACCUUGGAUCAUGGUGCUCUCACCUCAAAACUGGAAAUAGUAUUUUGGAACUGAUCUGACAAAGCUGGCAAUUGAAAAAUCAUAGCAGGACUCACAAAGGCUUAGGGAUGAAAAAGCUACAAAAUGUGAGGAAUCAAAUAAUGGGGUACAUACUGCAGCUCAGCAGUAGACAUUUCUGAAUCUUGAAACUUGCUUCUCCAAAUUUUCUUUAGAAAAACUUCUAGAAUAUCUUCCUUUCAUUUCUUAAAAAAUAUGUUCAUUAAUCUACUAUCCAUGUCUCUUAAUUUCUUAGGUGACAUAGUAGAUAAUAAUGCAUGGUAUCUUGAGAAAAUUAUGCAUGAUAAUUUUGUA
Molecule: long non-coding RNA, 865 nt
Organism: Panicum virgatum (switchgrass)
Lineage: Eukaryota; Viridiplantae; Streptophyta; Magnoliopsida; Poales; Poaceae
Exons: 2
Source: RefSeq, a predicted model, not a curated record